Non-coding RNA from Pelobates cultripes (western spadefoot toad), 681 nucleotides. Lineage: Eukaryota; Metazoa; Chordata; Amphibia; Anura; Pelobatidae. The record is from the annotation of a GenBank genome assembly.
CUUUUUUUUCCUGUGGCUAGCGCUAUGCCUAUCUUAGGAUCUGCAAAGGAUCCUAAAUGGCUUAGGUAGUAUGGUACUUUUAGUAGGCACACCAUGCAUGUUCUAGAACCCCUUGAUAAAGAUCUGUGCCAAUUCUUACAGUGAUAUUUGCUAAGGGGAAUUCAAUUGGCUUGUUUGGAAAAGUGGUUCUUAACAGUGCACAUAGUGGUAAUAUGCUGAGAAAGUGGCAACCACACUCUAAAAUCUUAUUGGGGCCCCAGGGACCUGAAGCUAUCUGAAAUGGUGGCAGGAGAGGGAAAAGAUAGAUUUCAUGCUGCUUACAUACUACAGCAUGUAAUUGGUCAACAUCCUUUUCUGUCAUCCUCCAAUCACAACCUACCAGAGGAUCCAUGAGAAUGGGUAUGAGCAGGACAAAACUGCCAGAAAACGCAGUUAUGAAUAUUUUCCCUCAAGUGGUUGUGUAGUACUUUGUUUAACUCGUGAACUAAUUUUUCAUUCUGCUUGGAUUUGACCUCAAUGCCUUUUGACCGUUCUACAUAUUUUCCACAACCAACUGAAGAAUGUAAAUAAACCGUUUUAUAUAGUAUUUCUUCAUAACUUACUCCCUUUAGUCGAUAGUAACACAUCUGAUGUGUUUCUAAUCCAUCAGUUCCGUUCUUUAUUGCAUACAUUCACCUCCCC